This 492-nucleotide ribosomal RNA is filed under the name uncultured bacterium. Its description in RNAcentral is "partial 16S ribosomal RNA". It matches the Rfam family "Bacterial small subunit ribosomal RNA", at positions 28 to 507 of the family's 1533-position model. The record is from RNAcentral.
GAUGAACGCUCGCUACAGGCUUAACACAUGCAAGUCGAGGGGAAACGACAUCGAAAGCUUGCUUUUGAUGGGCGUCGACCGGCGCACGGGUGAGUAACGCGUAUCCAACCUGCCCAUCACUUGGGAAUAACCUUGCGAAAGUAAGACUAAUACCCAAUGAUAUCCCACGAAGGCAUCGGAAUGGGAUUAAAGAUUUAUCGGUGAUGGAUGGGGAUGCGUCUGAUUAGCUUGUUGGCGGGGUAACGGCCCACCAAGGCAACGAUCAGUAGGGGUUCUGAGAGGAAGGUCCCCCACAUUGGAACUGAGACACGGUCCAAACGCCUACGGGAGGCAGCAGUGAGGAAUAUUGGUCAAUGGGCGAGAGCCUGAACCAGCCAAGUAGCGUGCAGGAAGACGGCCCUAUGGGUUGUAAACUGCUUUUAUAAGGGAAUAAAGUGGGUCACGUGUGACUUUUUGCAUGUACCUUAUGAAUAAGGACCGGCUAAUUCCGUG